ACAAUCUUCCCAAAAUCUCUCA
Molecule: non-coding RNA, 22 nt
Filed under: Arabidopsis thaliana (thale cress)
Lineage: Eukaryota; Viridiplantae; Streptophyta; Magnoliopsida; Brassicales; Brassicaceae
Source: RNAcentral